AAAAAAAAAAAAAAAAAACUAGGGGUAAAAACUCGGAAGGGCGGUUCUAAUCAGAUGGGCAGAGGGGAAAGUGAAAACCCGCAAGGGCACUUUUCGCAAAAUAAGAAAGUCGAGAACAGAAAGGGCAUCCUGAGAAGUGAGUAAGAAAGGGAAAGUUAUGGGUUUAAAUCUUGAGACUUGUCCUCCAUUAAUCGUUUAUCCUCGGGAUCCUGUUAAGUACACUUCGUCAAGGAAAGAACUUCAUGUGUCAGGGU
This 254-nucleotide unclassified non-coding RNA is filed under the name Hevea brasiliensis (rubber tree). The record is from RNAcentral. Lineage: Eukaryota; Viridiplantae; Streptophyta; Magnoliopsida; Malpighiales; Euphorbiaceae.